RNAcentral lists this ribosomal RNA (504 nucleotides) under uncultured bacterium. RNAcentral's name for it is "bacterial SSU rRNA". It matches the Rfam family "Bacterial small subunit ribosomal RNA", at positions 791 to 1301 of the family's 1533-position model. The record is from RNAcentral.
UAGUCCACGCCGUAAACGAUGGAUACUAGCUGUUCGGAACUUGUUUCUGAGUGGCUAAGCGAAAGUGAUAAGUAUCCCACCUGGGGAGUACGUUCGCAAGAAUGAAACUCAAAGGAAUUGACGGGGGCCCGCACAAGCGGUGGAGCAUGUGGUUUAAUUCGAUGAUACGCGAGGAACCUUACCAGGGCUUAAAUGUAGAUUGACAGGACUAGAGAUAGUUUUUUCUCGGACAAUUUACAAGGUGCUGCAUGGUUGUCGUCAGCUCGUGCCGUGAGGUGUCAGGUUAAGUCCUAUAACGAGCGCAACCCCUGUUGUUAGUUGCCAGCGAGUCGUGUCGGGAACUCUAGCAAGACUGCCAGUGCAAACUGUGAGGAAGGUGGGGAUGACGUCAAAUCAUCACGGCCCUUACGUCCUGGGCUACACACGUGCUACAAUGGUAGGGACAGAGAGCAGCCACUGUGCGAACAGGAGCGAAUCUAUAAACCCUAUCACAGUUCGGAUCGG